GAAAGCAGGGGAUCGUAAGACCUUGCGCUUUUGGAGUGGCCGAUGCCUGAUUAGCUAGUUGGUGGGGUAAGAGCCUACCAAGGCGACGAUCAGUAGUUGGUCUGAGAGGACGACCAGCCACACUGGGACUGAGACACGGCCCAGACUCCUACGGGAGGCAGCAGUGGGGAAUUUUGGACAAUGGGCGGAAGCCUGAUCCAGCAAUGCCGCGUGAGUGAAGAAGGCCUUCGGGUUGUAAAGCUCUUUCAGUCGAGAAGAAAAGGUUGUGACUAAUAAUCGCAACUUAUGACGGUAUCGACAGAAGAAGCACCGGCUAACUACGUGCCAGCAGCCGCGGUAAUACGUAGGGUGCGAGCGUUAAUCGGAAUUACUGGGCGUAAAGGGUGCGCAGGCGGCUCUGUAAGUCAG
Molecule: ribosomal RNA, 408 nt
Filed under: uncultured ammonia-oxidizing beta proteobacterium
Lineage: Bacteria; Pseudomonadati; Pseudomonadota; Betaproteobacteria
Description: bacterial SSU rRNA
Rfam family: Bacterial small subunit ribosomal RNA
Source: RNAcentral